This is a long non-coding RNA of Alligator mississippiensis (American alligator), 1144 nucleotides long. RefSeq lists it as uncharacterized. NCBI's taxonomy places the organism in Eukaryota, Metazoa, Chordata, Crocodylia, Alligatoridae. The record is from RefSeq and is a predicted model, not a curated record. The transcript has 2 exons.
GAUGAAAGGAACUAGAAGGCUGGGAAUUGGGUAACAGGCAUAAUCAGCAAGCAGAACAAGUGCAGCCAUUGGGGGAGUUCAUAAGCCAAUUAGGAUCUCUUGCACAAAGGGUGUCCCAGAUCCCUCAGGCAGUCGAAAGAGGCAUAUAAAAAUGUUUGCCACUCAGGGUUCGUCUAACCACUUCUAUCAAUUCUUUCUCCCUGGUGAACUAAGUGGUCCUCCAUCACUGAGAGAUGUCUUGUGGAACAGGGUGCUCCAACCCAUGCGAAGUGAACUGCCCACAGCCACAGGCUGUCACCGCCAAUGAGCCAUGUGUUAUCACCUGUCCUGACUCAAGAGUGAUCAUUUACCCACCACCAGUGGUUGUCACUUUCCCGGGACCAAUUCUCACCACUUGCCCUCAGGAAAGUGUAGUGGCAUCCACAGCAUCAGCUGACACUGUGCCAGCUGAAAUGCCAGCCUCAGUACCUUUGACUGCAGCGGUCAGUGGAAGUUUGGAGCCACGCGCUGAGACCAUUGCACCCCCAAUUAUUCCGAGACCCUUGCCUCGGUAUGUUCCUAAAUAUUCACAUACUUACUCUUCCCAUUGGAUGCAUCCUUGCAAUACAAACCGCUUUGGAAAGCGUUGGGCAUAUUAAACCCAGAAGAAGUAGCCAUGGUACAAUUUAGAUACAGCGACUGAAAGUCAAGGUCCAGAUUCAUGGCUGAGCUAAGGGACUGGUUCUCAGAAGUGCUGAGGCCCAUGAAUCCAACUAAAGUCAGUAAGAAGUGUAAGCAUUCAGCACCUCUAAAAACCAGGCCUAUAUAUAGAGAGAUAGAAAUAUAGAUAUCUAUAGCUCAUAUUACCCUUUAUUUUAGAUCAGUUAUCUAAUGGCUGCCCAGCUUAAUCUUCUGCUUGCACUGUGCUUUGACUUAUCUGACACUGGCUUUGGUCAAAUAAAUCAUGUGGGUGGUUUGAGAACAAGACUUAAUUGUCAAACUCUUCAGCUGCGGGAAAGAAAGACAAACAUCUUGCAUGAAAUGCAUUACCUUGUACAGGGGAAUUAUUUGCAAUCCUCACCAAAUGCCUGGAAAUCUAUUCUUUCUACUCCAUGUGCUUUUGUGUUCUCCUCAUCUCAGAAUAAAAAUGAUAUUUUACCCCAAA